RNAcentral lists this ribosomal RNA (393 nucleotides) under Triticum aestivum (bread wheat). Its description in RNAcentral is "partial small subunit ribosomal RNA". The record is from RNAcentral. Lineage: Eukaryota; Viridiplantae; Streptophyta; Magnoliopsida; Poales; Poaceae.
AUGCACGCCUCUCCCAACUCAGGCCAUCCCCAAACAGCGACCACGAUGCCCCACCGCUGGCCCCUUCGCGGCCACACUCCCCACGACGCUUGCCGGUUCUCCGCCGCCUCGCCUAGGCCGUCUUGGAACCGCCGCCGUCGCAGCUACAGUCAGGUGAUAGUUAAGAAGAACAUAGUAUGUGAUGGUCCAAUAGGGAAGAAAUGUAAGUCGACAGUGCUGCUGAUGGGUGGCACUGAUAGUCCCAACGCCUUUGCUCUUGGAUCAUUAUUCAAGAUUAUUUUUUCCUACAACAAGAAAGAGGAUGCUGAAGGAGGUAUUGCAACUAGAAAGGUAUCUGGUUUACAACUUGAUUAUGAACUUUGUUCAAACAUGCAUGGUUGUUUUAUCCUUUGA